Molecule: long non-coding RNA, 968 nt
Filed under: Marmota monax (woodchuck)
Lineage: Eukaryota; Metazoa; Chordata; Mammalia; Rodentia; Sciuridae
Source: RNAcentral
CUUUCAAUCACUUCUGUGCUAAAAAACAACAAAAAAUUAUCACAGCUAAUAAAAAGGAAAGUAAGUCUUAGAGCUUGCCAUUAUGUCUCCAUGAAUGGCCUUUCCACCCACAGAAAAAGUAUAGAUGACAGCUUUAGGGAAUAUUUAGGAAGGAUAGGUAGAGUUCAUUUUUAUAAAAGCAUUUUCAGGGACAAAAAAAGAUGAAAUGAACAAUUUCUGAUCCUGGAGUGGUCUGCAGUCCACCAGGGGAUGUCAUUGAUGGUAAGAGGGAUUUGAGGCAAGGCACAGUUAGUACCCUCAUGGGCCAGAAACCUGGUUCUGAAACUUGCCUACAUAUUUGCAGUGCCUCAGGAACUUUAAAAGACACUGCAGCCUAGUUCUCACCUUGCUUUACCUAUUGAAUAGGUUUUGGCUGUUGCCUGGGCACAGGGAUAUUAAGGACUCUCCAGGUGGUUCUUCUAAGCAGCCAAGGUGGAAAACAACUGACUCCAUGUUCCCAAGAUGUGUGUUGGGGACAAGGCAAACUUCCAGCAGAAGCAGCUUUCUUGUAAGCAUGGUUACUACUAUUAUUACUGAGUUAUUAUUCAUUUAGCAGAAGUCACACUUUGAAAGUGUGCAAUUCGGUGGUUUUUAGUGUAAUUUUGAGGUUGUGCCAUCACUACCACUGUGUUCAUGUGAUCAUUUUAAGGAUGUAGACAGGUCUGAUAGUUGGAAGUCAGAGGCAGGAGCAGUCCCCAGGGAGUUUGCUUUGCAGUAGCAUCCUGUUGAGAUAUGGUAAGGAGAUCAGGGGAAGCUGCUCUAACCUUAGCCUAGGAGAGAUGUCACCAGGGAAAUAAGGAGAGAGCGUGAUGCUAGACAGCAGGUUGUGGCACCUGCGGGCUUUGAUAGGAGAGUAGAGGCAUCCUGUGUUAAAAUCAGCAGAUGCAGCAGCUGUGGGUUGGCUUGAAGCAUUAUGGUGACAAUAGGAG